AGAGCACUCCCUCCGUUCGAAAUUACUUGUCGCAUAAAUGGAUGUAUCUAGACGUAUUUUAGUUCUAGAUACAUCCAUUUUCCAAGACAAGUAAAUCCGAACGGAGGGAGUAGAUA
Non-coding RNA from Triticum urartu, 116 nucleotides. The record is from Rfam. Lineage: Eukaryota; Viridiplantae; Streptophyta; Magnoliopsida; Poales; Poaceae.